GCUGGGUGUGGCGGCGCGCACCUGUAAUCGAGCUACUUCGAAGCUGAGGUAGUGAACUGCUUGAGGUCGGGGUUCUUACUGGUAGUUAUCCUAUGUCGAUCGAGCGUCCACACUAAGCCUUGUGUCAAUAUGGGCAGUUAGAGGGAGCUCUAAAUGUCCAGGUUGCGUAAUGAGGAAUGAAUCGGCCCAGGGUGGAAACACAGCAGGCAAAAGUUCCCGCAUCAGGCAGUAGUGGGAUAGCGCUCGUGAAUAGGGAGCUUAUUAGUAGCCCGAUCAAGAUAGUAGAACAUUGCUUUUU
Molecule: signal recognition particle RNA, 298 nt
Filed under: Trichoplax adhaerens
Lineage: Eukaryota; Metazoa; Placozoa; Uniplacotomia; Trichoplacea; Trichoplacidae
Also listed under: 1 other name
Description: metazoan signal recognition particle RNA
Rfam family: Metazoan signal recognition particle RNA
About the family: The signal recognition particle (SRP) is a universally conserved ribonucleoprotein. It is involved in the co-translational targeting of proteins to membranes. The eukaryotic SRP consists of a 300-nucleotide 7S RNA and six proteins: SRPs 72, 68, 54, 19, 14, and 9.
Source: Rfam by way of RNAcentral